Molecule: long non-coding RNA, 3444 nt
Organism: Pipra filicauda (Wire-tailed manakin)
Lineage: Eukaryota; Metazoa; Chordata; Aves; Passeriformes; Pipridae
Exons: 2
Source: RefSeq, a predicted model, not a curated record
CGAAGCAAGGUUGGACAGGGCUUGGAGGAACCUGGUCUAAUGGAACGUGUCCCUGCCCAUGGCACGGGGUGCCAUGAGAUGGGCUCUAAAGUCCCUUCCCACACAAACCAUUCUGAAAUUAUAUGUUUGCACCACCACCAGCUCCACUUGACACCUCCAAUGUUUCCCACAGUACACAUGCCCUCUCUGUGUGAUGAUGUGCUGCCUUGGGAAAAAAAUCCAGGUGCUCUGUCCUUGGAAACAGCUCGACUUCCUUCCCAGGCAAAGCUGGGACUGCUUGAGAGCACUGCCUGUGCCAACUGCUGUGCUGCCUGCUCCGGGCUUUCAGCUGCCUGUUCUUACCCUCCCUGUAAUCCAAACGCUCCCAUUCUCUCUGUUCCCAUGGUUUAUGCUACCUGUAAUCCCCUCCACAGUAAUUCCUAGUGUACAUCUCCUGAAGCUGGAUAAUCCUAAGAGAUCGGCAUAAGAACAGCACUUGAGUCAGCUCUUACUGUUCCACCUCUCAGAAAUCCCAGCAUUUCUUUCACCAGCAGUCUGUGGAUCCCUGUGCAUCUGCAAGUGGCAUUUGUUUAUAGUCCACAUUUCUUAGCUGCCUUAUGAUGUUCCUAAUUGUCCUUCAAGUAUAUCAUGGCAUUUCCAGCUCAUCCAUAACAUUCCUCCUUGUUUUGACAUAGCCUGGAUAGCUCAAGGCUUGGGAGAUUCCGACCAGCCAGUUCCUCAGUGGCACAAGGAGAGAGACUGGGAGGACAUGUGGGUCUGUCAGCACAGGACACCAGAUAAAACCAGUAACUCCCAUUUGCUGGAUCUGCUCCACCUCUGCUUUAGUGCUUCUUUGAGUCCAGAGAUGGGAAUGGAGCUGGGGAAGGGGCUGGAGCACCAGGAGUGGCUGAGGGAGCUGGGGGGGCUCAGCCUGGAGAAAAGGCUUAGGGGGGACCUUCUCGCUUUUUCCAACUCCCUUACAGGAGGGUGGAGUGGGAGGAGUCAGGCUCUGCUCCCACAGAUGUCAAGGAACAAGGGACAGGAUGAGAGGAAACGGCCUUAAGCUGUGCCAGGGGAGGUUCAGGUUGGAUAGUAAGGAAAUUUUUUUGUGGAAAGGCUCAGAAAGCAUUGGAACAGCCUGCCCAGGGCCAUGGUGGAGUCACCAUCUCUCGUGUUCAAAAAACAUGUGGAUGUGGCACUUGAGGACAUGGUGAUGGUGUUGGGCUGAUGAUUGGAACUGAUGAUCUUAAAGAUCUUUUCCAACCUUAACAAUGCUGUGAUUCCACGAUUCAAUCACCCAGAAUUCUCAGAGUCCUGCAGUUCACUAUAAAGAUCCCACCAGAGGAGGGAGUCCAUCACUGCAACUCCCUGGAAAUCCUCAUCAGCCCUCAAAUAGUUGCGAAGUAGCAACACUUUGUGGGGUUUUGUGCUGCUUAUGAAGAGUUCACAUCAUGGGAUCAGAGCUGAGCACUUGCCUGGACAUGUUCCUCAGUCCUUAGCACUUGAGAACACACACUGUGAGUGUUCUGGGUGCCUGCUGCCCCUGUCCCCUCCCUGCUGCUUCCUCCUUUUCUCUCUCACAGCUCUCAGUUCUGAAGGUCCUGCUUUUCCCCUGGAACUUGCUUGGACAAGCCACCCUGCUCUAAGCAGCCACAGUGUUUAUCCUCUCCCCCAGCACUCGAAGUCCUCAUUCCUCACUGAAACAAUCUCUCAGGACCCAGAUACAGGAGGAAAACUUUGCACUAGAAAGCAAUAUUAUUUUUACCUUGGAUCAAUUUCCCAGCCCACAGAGCUGCCCAGGAGCAGUUCAGGGGCUGGAGGGGGACCAAGACCGGGGAUGAGGAUGAUGCCUGCAGCCACCAAAAUGCACCUUGGAGCAGGAAGUGGCCACAUCUGCCCUUAAUAAUGAUCCUGAGCCUCUGGUCUGAAGCUGCCCUGUUUGGGAACUGCCCAUACUGGGCCAGGAGUGGGUCUGGUGGGGUUCACAGCCCACUCGGGGACCUGCAGCAGCCAAACUGGUCUGUUGGUGGCUUCUUUGCUCAAGCUACAAGACAUAAAUGCUAAAGGAAUGAUGAUGUUUAAUGCUGUGAUGUUCCUUUCUUUAUAUUUAUUGUGCUAAAUGCUAAAAGCUGAAUAUCUACUUGGGCUAAGAGUCCAAGGAAUUUCUUUCUUGCCUUUAAUUUCCAAUUAGCUGAGCCUCUCGAGCCUCCCCGCUCUGCCCCUGAGGCUGUGUUAUCAUCCGCCCCUCUGUGCGGAGAAGCUUCCGAAAUGGAUGGAACUAAUAAUCGUGGAAAAACUCCGGCUGCAUUUACAGCCUCUGCCUGCAAAAGUGGAGCCUUGAUUUCAAAGCCUGCGGCGACAAAUGGAUUAUUUCGGUGGCAAAUUAGUCUCUGGGGACCGACAAUUUGGGGAGCUGAGCGCUGGAACUGGAAAGCAGCAGAUCAAUUCCGAACACUUGGAGCCAAGGUUAAUGCCCUGCAAACUAUUGAGUGCAGCGAUGAAGGAUAACGUGUCAAAUGGGAAGCUUGGGAAUAUGGAAUUAAAGGGAAAAUGGGGAAGGUUGGAACAAGGAGAGCGAGCGAGACCCACAGAUUUGUUAAUAAAACCUGGGGACUGAGUUUUUGGGUGAGCGCUGAGGAUGACAGUGGGAUUUGAAUAAAAGAACUAGAACUAACAUCUCUGGGAAGGAGGGUUUUGGACUUGGGACAGUAAUGGAAGCUGGCAGAUCUCAUACCUGUCACACUGAGCCUUUCCCGAACAUCAUGGACAGCUCCCAAAAAUUCCUGAUUUCACAUAAAGAGGAUGAGACGAGGAUCUCCUGAAGGUUGGAGACCACUCUUCCCACUUUUAUUUGAAAUAACCACAUGAAAUCAUUCCAGCAGCUGAACAAAGAUCUUUGGAAGGUGAGAAUUAAAUGGAGUUUGGGGGGGGAGGCAAGUUUGGGGGUGCUGGGAGGUGGGUUUUGUCUGCAGAGUUUCCAGCAGCCUCCUGAGCACAGCCAGAUGAGAAAUCCCUCCCCAGGGAUCCUGCUCUUGUCCUCAGCACUGGGAAACUUUACAAAAGAAACACACUUUUACUGUCUUAAGAGCUACUUUGCUUGUCCAGCUUCCAAAUAACUGUUUUGCAGUUAAAAUGGCUUGUUUUCCAUCUCUCUUUACAGUUAUAAUACUUGGAAAUGGACUUUUCCUUUUGUUUUCUGAUAGUAUUGGAUGGUUUUGUAUGUUAUCAGAGGGCAACACUGUGGUGCCUCUUGAAUUAAACUGUCAGAUUUUAAGAACAGUUGUAAGGGAAGGACUGAAAUCCCAUUUUAGGUUCUUUUUUCCUUUGGAAAAUGGCUAUUUUAAAAACCCAGACUCCAUUUGCCUGUUUUCUUUAUAUCCCCUUCCACCGUUCAAAGUUUUGUUGUUGCUCAAAGUCUAGUUGUGAUUAUAUAAAUCCCAAAUAAAGGUGGAUCAGUAGCCAAAA